GGGCUUACUAUUUUUAACAUUUUUUGUUUCUUUUCAAGAUAGCAUGAUUAACUAACAAGCUAUUUAGGGAAAGUAAAUAAUUUAAGGGAAAUGGGAAUGCAGAAAGGAUAAAUAUGGUUAACUACCGAUUUUAUCUUUCGACGAGGGUUCAAUGUUUUAAGUCUUCUGAACAAGACUUCUCACCGUGUUCAUUCUUCAGGUGCGUCAUUUUAUUCAGGUGCGGACCUUGAUGUCUGCACCUCUUGAUACGGUGUCACCCAUGUUCUUCGUUUGUCCAGC
This 279-nucleotide long non-coding RNA is filed under the name Sorghum bicolor (sorghum). Its description in RNAcentral is "long non-coding RNA (SBIC_LNC006522)". Lineage: Eukaryota; Viridiplantae; Streptophyta; Magnoliopsida; Poales; Poaceae. The record is from RNAcentral.